UGGGGAAUAUUGCACAAUGGGCGCAAGCCUGAUGCAGCCAUGCCGCGUGUGUGAAGAAGGCCUUCGGGUUGUAAAGCACUUUCAGCGAGGAGGAAGGUGGUGAGCUUAAUACGCUCAUCAAUUGACGUUACUCGCAGAAGAAGCACCGGCUAACUCCGUGCCAGCAGCCGCGGUAAUACGGAGGGUGCAAGCGUUAAUCGGAAUUACUGGGCGUAAAGCGCACGCAGGCGGUUUGUUAAGUCAGAUGUGAAAUCCCCGGGCUCAACCUGGGAACUGCAUUUGAAACUGGCAAGCUAGAGUCUCGUAGAGGGGGGUAGAAAUUCCAGGUGUAGCGGUGAAAUGCGUAGAGAUCUGGAGGAAUACCGGUGGCGAAGGCGGCCCCCCUGGACGAAGACUGACGCUCAGGUGCGAAAAGCGUGGGGAGCAAAACAGGAUUAGAUACCCUGGUAGUCCACGCUGUAAAACGAUGUCGAUUUUGGAGGUUGUGCCCCUUGAGGCGUGGCUUCCGGAGCUAACGCGUUAAAUCGACCGCCUGGGGAGUACGGCCGCAAGGUUAAAACUCAAAGGAAUUGACGGGGUCUAGCUG
This 586-nucleotide ribosomal RNA is filed under the name uncultured bacterium. RNAcentral describes it as "partial 16S ribosomal RNA". It matches the Rfam family "Bacterial small subunit ribosomal RNA", at positions 355 to 926 of the family's 1533-position model. The record is from RNAcentral.